This 460-nucleotide ribosomal RNA is filed under the name uncultured bacterium. RNAcentral's name for it is "partial 16S ribosomal RNA". It matches the Rfam family "Bacterial small subunit ribosomal RNA", at positions 338 to 795 of the family's 1533-position model. The record is from RNAcentral.
CCUACGGGAGGCAGCAGUGAGGAAUAUUGGUCAAUGGACGAAAGUCUGAACCAGCCAAGUAGCGUGAAGGAUGAAUGCCCUAUGGGUUGUAAACUUCUUUUAUAUGGGAAUAAACUGUUCCACGUGUGGGAUUUUGUAUGUACCCUAUGAAUAAGGAUCGGCUAACUCCGUGCCAGCAGCCGCGGUAAUACGGAGGAUCCGAGCGUUAUCCGGAUUUAUUGGGUUUAAAGGGAGCGUAGGUGGUUUGUUAAGUCAGUUGUGAAAGUUUGCGGCUCAACCGUAAAAUUGCAGUUGAAACUGGAAGUCUUGAGUAUAGUAGAGGUGGGCGGAAUGCGUGGUGUAGCGGUGAAAUGUUUAGAUAUCACGAAGAACUCCGAUUGCGAAGGCAGCUCACUGGACUGUAACUGACACUGAGGCUCGAAAGUGUGGGUAUCAAACAGGAUUAGAUACCCGUGUAGUC